UUAAGAGCUUGCUCUUAUGAAGUUAGCGGCGGACGGGUGAGUAACACGUGGGUAACCUGCCCAUAAGACUGGGAUAACUCCGGGAAACCGGGGCUAAUACCGGAUAACAUUUUGAACUGCAUGGUUCGAAAUUGAAAGGCGGCUUCGGCUGUCACUUAUGGAUGGACCCGCGUCGCAUUAGCUAGUUGGUGAGGUAACGGCUCACCAAGGCAACGAUGCGUAGCCGACCUGAGAGGGUGAUCGGCCACACUGGGACUGAGACACGGCCCAGACUCCUACGGGAGGCAGCAGUAGGGAAUCUUCCGCAAUGGACGAAAGUCUGACGGAGCAACGCCGCGUGAGUGAUGAAGGCUUUCGGGUCGUAAAACUCUGUUGUUAGGGAAGAACAAGUGCUAGUUGAAUAAGCUGGCACCUUGACGGUACCUAACCAGAAAGCCACGGCUAACUACGUGCCAGCAGCCGCGGUAAUACGUAGGUGGCAAGCGUUAUCCGGAAUUAUUGGGCGUAAAGCGCGCGCAGGUGGUUUCUUAAGUCUGAUGUGAAAGCCCACGGCUCAACCGUGGAGGGUCAUUGGAAACUGGGAGACUUGAGUGCAGAAGAGGGAAAGUGGAAUUCCAUGUGUAGCGGUGAGAUGCGUAAGAUAUGGAGGAACACCAGUUG
RNAcentral lists this ribosomal RNA (660 nucleotides) under Bacillus thuringiensis. RNAcentral's name for it is "bacterial SSU rRNA". It matches the Rfam family "Bacterial small subunit ribosomal RNA", at positions 72 to 715 of the family's 1533-position model. Lineage: Bacteria; Bacillati; Bacillota; Bacilli; Caryophanales; Bacillaceae. The record is from RNAcentral.